This 78-nucleotide non-coding RNA is filed under the name Aquaspirillum sp. RNAcentral also lists the same sequence under 1 other name. The record is from RNAcentral. Lineage: Bacteria; Pseudomonadati; Pseudomonadota; Betaproteobacteria; Neisseriales; Aquaspirillaceae.
UAACCCCACAGCGCCGAUUUGAGCUUCAGCUUGCGGGCGCUUUACAAAUGCCGCUAAAGCGUACGGAAACCCGCACAG